Molecule: ribosomal RNA, 165 nt
Filed under: uncultured bacterium
Lineage: Bacteria
Description: partial 16S rRNA
Rfam family: Bacterial small subunit ribosomal RNA
Source: RNAcentral
UAGGGAAUCUUCGGCAAUGGACGAAAGUCUGACCGAGCAACGCCGCGUGAGUGAAGAAGGUUUUCGGAUCGUAAAACUCUGUUGGUAGAGAAGAACGUUGGUAAGAGUGGAAAGCUCAUCAAGUGACGGUAACUACCCAGAAAGGGACGGCUAACUACGUGCCAG